This 215-nucleotide non-coding RNA is filed under the name unclassified sequences. RNAcentral's name for it is "RT-2 RNA". It matches the Rfam family "RT-2 RNA". From Rfam's summary of the family: Coriobacteriales (Actinobacteria), Clostridiales (Firmicutes). Downstream gene The record is from Rfam by way of RNAcentral.
ACGGGUCAAAUGUAGUAGGGAACGAACCAGACCCUUUGUGAAAGGAGAGAUACUUCCCGGGCGGAAAGCCCGAAACCGCCCUUUGUGGCCACGGCACGGACGCUGCUUGCAUGGCGGGGUAUUGCGCUAUCCCCGUUUCAUGUGUCGGGCCAAAGUAGUUUAUACGCGCACCUACAAGACAACUAUGCGGAGGGCGAAUACUUUUUAUUAUGACC